AUCGAACGCUGGCGGCAGGCCUAACACAUGCAAGUCGAGCGGAUGAAGGGAGCUUGCCUCUGGAUUCAGCGGCGGACGGGUGUGUAAUGCCUAGGAAUCUGCCUGGCAGUGGGGGAUAACGUCCGCAAACGGGCGCUAAUACUGCAUACGUCCUGAGGGAGAAAGUGGGGGAUCUUCGGACCUCACGCUAUCAGAUGAGUCUAGGCCGGAUUAGAUAGGUGGUGGGGUAAAGGCCUACCAAGGCGACGAUCCGUAACUGGCCUGAGAGGAUGAUCAGUCACACUGGAACUGGAACGCGGACCAGGCUCCUACGAGACGGAGCAGUGGGGAAUGUUAGGCAGUGGGGGGAAGCAUGAUACAACCAUGCCGCGUGUGUGAAGAAGGUCUUCGGAUUGGAAAGAACGUUUAGUUGGGGGAAAGGGCAGUAAGUUAAGACCUUGCUGUAUUGACGGUACCAACAGAAUAAGCACCGGCUAACUUCGUG
RNAcentral lists this ribosomal RNA (484 nucleotides) under uncultured bacterium. RNAcentral's name for it is "partial 16S ribosomal RNA". It matches the Rfam family "Bacterial small subunit ribosomal RNA", at positions 30 to 507 of the family's 1533-position model. The record is from RNAcentral.